This 1232-nucleotide long non-coding RNA is filed under the name Salmo salar (Atlantic salmon). RNAcentral describes it as "lncRNA (ENSSSAG00000094468.1)". Lineage: Eukaryota; Metazoa; Chordata; Actinopteri; Salmoniformes; Salmonidae. The record is from RNAcentral.
CAUGGACUGCACCAGAUUUGUCAGUUCUUGCUGGCACCUGCAAGUUCCCGGACAUUUCUGGGGGGAAUGGCCCUAGCCCUCACCCUCUGAUCCAACAGGUCCCAGACGUGCUCAAAUGGAUUGAGAUCCAGGCUCUUCGCUGGCCAUGGCAGAACACUGACAUUCAUGUCUUGCAGGAAAUCACGCACAGAGCGAGCAGUAUGGCUGGUGGCAUUGUCAUGCUGGAGGGUCAUGUCAGGAUGAGCCUGCAGGAAGGGUACCACAUGAGGGAGGAGGAUGUCUUCCCUGUAACACACAGCGUUGAGAUUGCCUUCAAUGACAACAAGCUCAGUCCGAUGAUGUUGUGACAAACUGCCCCAGACCAUGAAGGACCCUCUACCUCCAAAUCAAUCCCGCUCCAGAGUACAGGCCUCGGUGUAACCCUCAUUCCUUCGACGAUAAAUGCGAAUCUGAUCAUCACCACUGGUGAGAGAAAACCGUGACUUUGUCAGUGAAGAGCACUUUUUUCCACUCCUGUCUGGUCCAGUGACGGUGGGUUUGUGCCCAUAGGCAACGUUGUUGCCGGUGAUGUCUGGAGCAGUUGGAGGCCACGGAAGAAGAGUUGCACGGCAUCGAAGCUCGUCUGGAGGGCUGUCAACACAGUGUCCAAAGAAGGGCCAGAAGUAUACAGAAUGGUGUCGUCUGCGUAGAGGUGGAUCAGAGACUCACCUAUGACCUAGAGGCUCACUCCCCCCAGUGAACUUGUCCAGGCGUGUGGUCAAUAAGGGGUUUUACUUGAGAUGGGAGUAUUUGGAGUUGACAAUUGAUUUAUGCCAUAGAAUGAAUUGGUGUUUCUGUGCUAUGAAGUACCAGGAACGAGAUCGGAGCCUCGUCUUAGGGGCCAGACUAAACAACAAGAACAGUCUUCAUCGCAAACGCUAUCUGGCUGCGGGAUACUCCUUUUUCAUAUAUCAAGUUUCACCUUGUGACCCAUUCUAUACAUCUGUUGUUUGUCAUGAAGACUAAAAGGGCGUAUCUUUUCUAUAAAAGAUAUUUGUAUUCUUCGUAUGUCAGAGCUACUCGUCACAACACUUGGAAGUGUUGAGCCGACCAGCCUCAUCAUUAUAGAAGCAAUUGCUCUAUGCUUUCCUUAUUAAUAAGUUUUGAAUAAAGUAAUAUCCUGAUUGGUGAUUGACCUUGUCUCUCCUCAUUAUUGAUUAGAAUUUAGAGGUCCUUAGAUCAAUUAUCAGUGA